This is a long non-coding RNA of Echinops telfairi (small Madagascar hedgehog), 368 nucleotides long. RefSeq lists it as uncharacterized. NCBI's taxonomy places the organism in Eukaryota, Metazoa, Chordata, Mammalia, Afrosoricida, Tenrecidae. The transcript has 3 exons. The record is from RefSeq and is a predicted model, not a curated record.
UGGCUCAGCAAUGGACGCAGACCGGGUGGCGCACAGGACCACGUCUUGUGUCCUGCUGUUGCACACCGUGAGUCGGAACCACUCAUUAACAACAACGUCAACGCCAUGUCUUUACAAAUCUCAGGUAUCAUCAAAUCACUUUCCACAGGUAUGUCUGGGAGAUUUUUAUCCAGCCACUCCACAGCUUUGAGAGCCUCACUCCUCAAAGUGGGACCUGCAGACUCCGGUUACCCAGAUGCUUUGAGAAAAGCAGAACUGCUUGGUGCUCCUCACACCUGUGUACACAUGAAUCGCCCGAGAGCUGGUGAAAAUGCUGAUUCAGAUCCAGCAGAGCUACACUUGGAGAGGUGGAGGAGCCACGUGAAGAC